Molecule: transfer RNA, 95 nt
Filed under: Dentipellis sp. KUC8613
Lineage: Eukaryota; Fungi; Basidiomycota; Agaricomycetes; Russulales; Hericiaceae
Rfam family: tRNA
About the family: Transfer RNA (tRNA) molecules are approximately 80 nucleotides in length. Their secondary structure includes four short double-helical elements and three loops (D, anti-codon, and T loops).
Source: Rfam by way of RNAcentral
GUCCUUGUAGAUUAGUGGUUAGAUCACCACGUUGUGGCACUGCUUUGGCAGUCAACAAUUCCGUGGUAACCCAGGCUCGAAUCCUGGCAAGGACA